This is a long non-coding RNA of Periophthalmus magnuspinnatus, 461 nucleotides long. RefSeq lists it as uncharacterized. Lineage: Eukaryota; Metazoa; Chordata; Actinopteri; Gobiiformes; Gobiidae. The transcript is spliced from 3 exons. The record is from RefSeq and is a predicted model, not a curated record.
CUAAACCAGGACUAAACCAGGACUAAACCAGGUCUGAACCAGGACUAAACCAGGACUAAACCAGGACUAAACCAGGUCUGAACCAGGACUAAACCAGGACUAAACCAGGACUAAACCAGGUCUGAACCAGGACUAAACCAGGACUAAACCAGGACUAAACCAGGUCUGAACCAGGACUAAACCAGGACUAAACCAGGACUAAACCAGGUCUGAACCAGGACUAAACCAGGACUAAACCAGGACUAAACCAGGUCUGAACCGGGACUAAACCAGGACUAAACCAGGACUAAACCAGGACUAAACCAGGUCUAAACCAGGUCUUAAACCAGGACUGAACCAGGACUGAACCAGGACUGAACCAGGACUGAACCAGGGCUAAACCAGGACUGAACCAGGACUGAACCAGGACUGAACCAGGACUGAACCAGGACUGAACCAGGACUGAACCAGGGCUAAACCAG